UACGUAGGGUGCAAGCGUUGUCCGGAAUUAUUGGGCGUAAAGAGCGUGUAGGCGGCCCGAUUAGUCCGCUGUGAAAGUCCAGGGCUCAACCCUGGAAUGCCGGUGGAUACUGUCGGGCUAGAGUCCGGAAGGGGCGAGUGGAAUUCCUGGUGUAGCGGUGAAAUGCGCAGAUAUCAGGAGGAACACCAAUGGCGAAGGCAGCUCGCUGGGACGGUACUGACGCUCAGGCGCGAAAGCGUGGGGAGCAAACAGG
Molecule: ribosomal RNA, 253 nt
Filed under: uncultured bacterium
Lineage: Bacteria
Description: partial 16S ribosomal RNA
Rfam family: Bacterial small subunit ribosomal RNA
Source: RNAcentral